UACGUAGGGCGCAAGCGUUGUCCGGAUUUACUGGGCGUAAAGGGCGUGCAGGCGGUUUGUUAAGUGCAGGGUGAAAGCUCCCGGCUCAACUGGGAGAGGUCCUUGCAUACUGGCGAACUCGAGGGAGGCAGAGGAAAGUGGAAUUCCCGGUGUAGUGGUGAUAUGCGUAGAUAUCGGGAGGAACACCUGUGGCGAAGGCGGCUUUCUGGGCCUUACCUGACGCUGAGACGCGAAAGCGUGGGGAGCGAACCGG
This 253-nucleotide ribosomal RNA is filed under the name uncultured bacterium. RNAcentral's name for it is "partial 16S ribosomal RNA". It matches the Rfam family "Bacterial small subunit ribosomal RNA", at positions 524 to 776 of the family's 1533-position model. The record is from RNAcentral.